Molecule: ribosomal RNA, 216 nt
Filed under: Glomeromycotina sp.
Lineage: Eukaryota; Fungi; Glomeromycota
Description: partial small subunit ribosomal RNA
Rfam family: Eukaryotic small subunit ribosomal RNA (bases 40-216)
Source: RNAcentral
GGGUCAGUGGGUUGGUCGUGCCACCGGUACGUACUGGUCUCACUGAUUCCUCCUUCCUGAAGAACCGUAAUGCCAUUAAUUUGGUGUUGCGGGGAGACAGGACUGUUACUUUGAAAAAAUUAGAGUGUUUAAAGCAGGCUAACGCUUGAAUACAUUAGCAUGGAAUAAUGAAAUAGGACGAUCGAUCCUAUUUUGUUGGUUUCUAGGAUUGACGUA